Carica papaya (papaya) is the source of this 583-nucleotide non-coding RNA. NCBI's taxonomy places the organism in Eukaryota, Viridiplantae, Streptophyta, Magnoliopsida, Brassicales, Caricaceae. The record is from RefSeq and is a predicted model, not a curated record.
AAUUCUAACUGCAAUUAUUUUCGGUACAGCCUCUUCCGCCUCAGGAGGAGAUGGAAUUGAAAGAGACACUACAAGAUAUAAUUGGACAGGGGAAGACAGUUAAGCUUGAACAGAAGAUAGAUCCUAGUAUUCUUGGUGGCCUUGUGAUAGAAUUUGGGCAGAAGGUCUUCGACAUGUCUAUUAAGACAAGGGCAAAACAGAUGGAGAGGUUUCUUCGUGAGCCUGCCAACCUUGGUAGCCUCUGAAUUAUGUGACACAUUCCGGCACCUUUGUUGCAUGCCACUUGUUCUGCUCCAAUUUGAGUGUGCAGAGGAAGGUGAAAGAACUGUUAAUGUUAUCAUCUGGUUCUGUUUUCUUGUAGUCUGCCUUCACAUAAGAUGGAAUGCAUCCAUUUAUCAAAUAAGAAAUUACUUUCUGUAUUCGCAUUUCUCUAGGCCCAAAUCUGUUUUUUCUGAAUAUAGGAGGUUGUCUGUAUGGGCAAAUAUUCCUUUUGGGGGGUUCAUAAAGUUGUUUCAACAAUCAUUCAAGUGCGGAUUUCCUUAACCAUGCAAUUGAUACAGUUGCUGAUUUUUAUAGAUUCAUA